CCGCACAUAGCUCAGCGGUAGAGCACUUGGCUGUAGACCAGGGGGUCGCCUGUUCAAAUCAGGCUGUGCGGA
RNAcentral lists this transfer RNA (72 nucleotides) under Nanobdellota archaeon. Its description in RNAcentral is "tRNA-Tyr". It matches the Rfam family "tRNA". Rfam says of the family: Transfer RNA (tRNA) molecules are approximately 80 nucleotides in length. Their secondary structure includes four short double-helical elements and three loops (D, anti-codon, and T loops). The record is from RNAcentral. Lineage: Archaea; Nanobdellati; Nanobdellota.